CCUACGGGGGGCAGCAGUGGGGAAUAUUGGACAAUGGGCGAAAGCCUGAUCCAGCCAUGCCGCGUGUGUGAAGAAGGCCUUCGGGUUGUAAAGCACUUUCAGUGGGGAAGAAAGCCUUGGGGCUAAUACCCUCGAGGAAGGACAUCACCCACAGAAGAAGCACCGGCUAACUCCGUGCCAGCAGCCGCGGUAAUACGGAGGGUGCGAGCGUUAAUCGGAAUUACUGGGCGUAAAGCGCGCGUAGGCGGUCUGAUAAGCCGGUUGUGAAAGCCCCGGGCGCAACCUGGGAACGGCAUCCGGAACUGUCAGGCUAGAGUGCAGGAGAGGAAGGUAGAAUUCCCGGUGUAGCGGUGAAAUGCGUAGAGAUCGGGAGGAAUACCAGUGGCGAAGGCGGCCUUCUGGACUGACACUGACGCUGAGGUGCGAAAGCGUGGGUAGCAAACAGGAUUAGAUACCCUGGUAGU
RNAcentral lists this ribosomal RNA (464 nucleotides) under Vreelandella stevensii. RNAcentral's name for it is "partial 16S ribosomal RNA". It matches the Rfam family "Bacterial small subunit ribosomal RNA", at positions 338 to 794 of the family's 1533-position model. The record is from RNAcentral. Lineage: Bacteria; Pseudomonadati; Pseudomonadota; Gammaproteobacteria; Oceanospirillales; Halomonadaceae.